UACGUAGGGGGCAAGCGUUGUUCGGAUUCAUUGGGCGUAAAGGGCGCGUAGGCUGCGGGGCAAGUCGGGUGUGAAAUCUCAGAGCUCAACUCUGAAACUGCACUCGAUACUGCUUUGCUUGAGGACUGGAGAGGAGAUUGGAAUUCACGGUGUAGCAGUGAAAUGCGUAGAUAUCAGUCGGAACACCGGUGGCGAAGGCGGCUUCUUGGGCCGUUACUGACGCUGAGGCGCGAAAGCCAGGGGAGCGAACGGG
This 253-nucleotide ribosomal RNA is filed under the name uncultured bacterium. Its description in RNAcentral is "partial 16S ribosomal RNA". It matches the Rfam family "Bacterial small subunit ribosomal RNA", at positions 524 to 776 of the family's 1533-position model. The record is from RNAcentral.